Long non-coding RNA from Sus scrofa (pig), 2144 nucleotides. RefSeq lists it as uncharacterized. NCBI's taxonomy places the organism in Eukaryota, Metazoa, Chordata, Mammalia, Artiodactyla, Suidae. The record is from RefSeq and is a predicted model, not a curated record.
GUAGCUGCUGCUCUGAUUGGACCUCUAGCCUGGGAACCUCCAUAUGCCGUGGGUGCGGCCCUAAACAACAAACAAACAAAAAAACCACACCCCCCCCACACUCAUAGGGGGUAUGCUAGUUUCCUAAGGCUGGCAGAAACAAAUGACCCCUAACUUGGGGCCUGGAAACAACAGAAAUGUAUCACCUCAGCUCUAGAGGCUGGAAGCCCAAGAUCCGGGUGUGGGCUGGCUUCGUUCCUUCCCGGGGCUCUGAUGAGACUCUGUUCCAGGCCCUUGUCCCAGGUCCCGGUGACUGACAGCAGUCCUUGGCAUCCUUCACGCAUUGCCACGUCGCUGCAAUCGCUGCUCCGUCCGCACGUGGCCUUCUUCCCUGCGUGUCUGUGUGCCAACUUUCCCGCUCGGCCUAAGGCUACCAGUCAUUGGAUUCAGGGCCCGCCCCACUCCAGUCUGACCUCAUUUAACCUGAUUACACCUGCAAAGACCCUGUAUCCUUCGUAGGUUCCAGGGAGACAGGCAUUUGUGGGGGGGAGCCCCCGGCGCCUGUGGGUGGAGAGCCUGGGGACCUUCCGUGGAUCUCAUGUCGCUGUUGACUGGUCCUUCCUGGUGACGAAGGGUCUGCUGUGCUGGGAAACUCCUCAGACGCCAUUGACUCUGAAAACGGGUUUUGAAAAACUUCGACAGCUUGUCAUUGUCACAUGAUCGGAGAAAAGGCGAAAGAACCCAGAGGCCGGCUCUCCUGAGUCUGAACAAAGAGUUGGCCUUCCCUCCAGCCUUCCGGGGGCAGGCUUGUUUGGCCUCAAUAUUUGGGUUUCCCCUGGGAGGCCAGGCCCCUGCUCUGCUUUUUCCCUCAGUGUAAAGGGGUGAAUUCAUGCGAGUCCCUCGUGCCAAGAGAGAGCCCAUUUCAUCCAAGAGAAAGGGGAGGGCAGUGUCCCCCACCCUGAGAGCCAGGGGAGGGCUCAUCUCCCCUGAAGGCCUCCCAGGGGAGGGAGAAUUCUGAGGACCCCCCAACCCUGGAAUUGCCCCCCGCCUCGAAUAUUAACCCAGAUGCUGUUGUGAAGAGAUUUUGCAAAUGGACGGUCCCAGGUCAGGUGACUUUAAGGCUCGGAGAUGGUCUGUGUGGGCCGGACCCAUUCAGGUGAAUCUUGUCAAAUCAGAGUGAUUUCUCUGGUGGGAGGAGGCGUCAGAGAUUUUCGAAAGGUCAGAAACACAGGCCACGCCAUCCCCUUUCUGCUCCGAAGUCAGAAGGAGCCACCAGGGAAGUGUGAGUGGCCUCCAGGGCCGAGUGUGGCUCCAGCCACCAGCCAGCAGGGGCCUCAGACCCACAGCCUCCAGGAUGCAGGUUCUCGGGCGGAGGACAGCCCCGUGGGGGGACACCUGGGUUUUCCCCUGAGACCCGAACAGAGCACCUAGUCGAGCCUGUUCAGAUUUCUGGCCCACGGAACUCCAGGUGAUAAGUGGGGUUAAUUUAAGCCACUAGAUUGGUGGUGAGUCGUCAUGCAGCUGGAGAAAGGACCCGGCCUCUGGUCUCGGAAGGUCGGAGGAGAAGCAGAGAUUUGGCAAAUCGGGCGACUCCACUGUUUCUGGCUGGUCCACCCCCGUCCUGUGUGCGUUGAGUCCUGCCACAGCGCCUGUGCCCUGCCCGAGACCGCAACACCCCGCAGUGAGCCAGCCGGCUGUGCAGAGCAAUCAGACACGUGACCGUCUUGUGGUCAACCCGUGACUGGAGACCUGGGAACCAGGCAGGGGCAGAACCGUGCGGAACCAUCAGAGCCAUUCCUGGCAAGACCGUGCUGGCGCGUCCCAGCCAAAGGUCCAGUAAAUUCAUUCCUGGAUGUACCCCCGAGAGAGAUGAGGAUCCCAGAAGCACCUCUGAGCGAUGCUAUCAGCUUUCUUCACAAUAACCGCCAGUAGGAAGCAACACAGCUUCGUAUGACCAGGAGCGCAGAACAGGGGGCGUAAGUUCCUGCGAUUAGAUAAUAAUAGCAGGGAAAAGAGCAACACGCCGUUGGACGUCACAAAACAGGUGAAUCUGAGACACGACAUGGAUGGAAAAGGCCGUGCACAGACGCGACUCCAUUCGCACGAAGUUCAAGGGCCAGGCAAACUAAUUUCUGGCGAUGCGGGUCAGAAUAGCUGUUCCCUAC